This 221-nucleotide ribosomal RNA is filed under the name uncultured bacterium. RNAcentral describes it as "partial 16S ribosomal RNA". It matches the Rfam family "Bacterial small subunit ribosomal RNA", at positions 1280 to 1500 of the family's 1533-position model. The record is from RNAcentral.
AAACGUUCUCAGUUCAGAUUGCAGGCUGCAACCCGCCUGCAUGAAGUCGGAAUUGCUAGUAAUCGCGGAUCAGCAUGCCGCGGUGAAUACGUUCCCGGGCCUUGUACACACCGCCCGUCACACCAUGAGAGUCGGGAACACCCGAAGUCCGUAGUCUAACCGCAAGGGGGACGCGGCCGAAGGUGGGUUCGAUAAUUGGGGUGAAGUCGUAACAAGGUACC